Molecule: ribosomal RNA, 465 nt
Filed under: Vreelandella stevensii
Lineage: Bacteria; Pseudomonadati; Pseudomonadota; Gammaproteobacteria; Oceanospirillales; Halomonadaceae
Description: partial 16S ribosomal RNA
Rfam family: Bacterial small subunit ribosomal RNA
Source: RNAcentral
CCUACGGGGGGCAGCAGUGGGGAAUAUUGGACAAUGGGGGGAACCCUGAUCCAGCCAUGCCGCGUGUGUGAAGAAGGCCCUCGGGUUGUAAAGCACUUUCAGUGAGGAAGAACGCCUGGUGGUUAAUACCCAUCAGGAAAGACAUCACUCACAGAAGAAGCACCGGCUAACUCCGUGCCAGCAGCCGCGGUAAUACGGAGGGUGCGAGCGUUAAUCGGAAUUACUGGGCGUAAAGCGCGCGUAGGUGGCUUGAUAAGCCGGUUGUGAAAGCCCCGGGCUCAACCUGGGAACGGCAUCCGGAACUGUCAAGCUAGAGUGCAGGAGAGGAAGGUAGAAUUCCCGGUGUAGCGGUGAAAUGCGUAGAGAUUGGGAGGAAUACCAGUGGCGAAGGCGGCCUUCUGGACUGACACUGACACUGAGGUGCGAAAGCGUGGGUAGCAAACAGGAUUAGAUACCCCUGUAGUC